AUGGCAACCUGCUUAUCUGACCUAAUUAGAGACUACUGCCUAGAUUUCAUUGGCAUUCAGGAAACAAUGAAAAAGGACUUUUCCUCUAAAUUCUUGAGGAAAAUUGAUCCUGGACAGUAUUUUGAUUGGAGGUGGAUUCCUUCACUAGGUAAGUCUGGAGGGAUUCUGUGUGGUACUAAGGAGGAUACUUUUGAGGUGAGGUCAUGUGAGACAGGCAAAUAUAUCAUGAAACUGGAAUUAUGGGAUAAGAGGAAAAAAAUGUUGUACUGUAUACUGGUAGUAUAUGGAUCUGCUCAUGAAGAGUAUAAAAUGGAAUUUUUGACCGAAUUGUCUGACGUGUGUGGCAAUAUUACUUGCCCUUACAUUGUAGGGGACUUUAAUAUCCUUAGAUAUGCUAAGGAAAAAAAUAAGAAGACCAGGAUGAGUCAUGCUACUGAUCUCUUUAAUUCCAUCAUUAACACAUUCUGUCUCAGGGAAAUUGACAUAAAUGGUGGUAUAUACACUUGGUCUAAUAAUCAACAUAACCCUACCCUCGAAAAGUUGGACCGUAUACUUAUGUCCAGUUCUUGGGAAAGGCAAUUCCCUUUGACUUUUGUCAGGAAACUGACCAAAGAGAUUUCAGAUCAUAGUCCUUUGAUCCUGAAUACAGAG
This 651-nucleotide ribosomal RNA is filed under the name Triticum aestivum (bread wheat). RNAcentral describes it as "partial small subunit ribosomal RNA". The record is from RNAcentral. Lineage: Eukaryota; Viridiplantae; Streptophyta; Magnoliopsida; Poales; Poaceae.